This 409-nucleotide ribosomal RNA is filed under the name bacterium. RNAcentral's name for it is "partial 16S ribosomal RNA". It matches the Rfam family "Bacterial small subunit ribosomal RNA", at positions 355 to 776 of the family's 1533-position model. The record is from RNAcentral.
UGGGGAAUAUUGCACAAUGGGCGAAAGCCUGAUGCAGCGACGCCGCGUGAGGGAUGACGGCCUUCGGGUUGUAAACCUCUUUCAGUAGGGACGAAGCGCAAGUGACGGUACCUGCAGAAGAAGCACCGGCUAACUACGUGCCAGCAGCCGCGGUAAUACGUAGGGUGCGAGCGUUGUCCGGAAUUACUGGGCGUAAAGAGCUCGUAGGCGGUUUGUCACGUCGUCUGUGAAAUCCUAGGGCUUAACCCUGGACGUGCAGGCGAUACGGGCUGACUUGAGUACUCCACGGGAGACUGGAAUUUCUGGUGUAGCGGUGGAAUGCACAGAUAUCAGGAAGAACACCGAUGGCGAAGGCAGGUCUCUGGGUAGUAACUGACGCUGAGGAGCGAAAGCAUGGGUAGCGAACAGG